AGCGGGAUGGCGCAGUUGGCAGCGCGGUGGGCUCAUAACCCACAGGUCGAGAGUUCGAGUCUCUCUCCCGCCA
This 73-nucleotide transfer RNA is filed under the name Chloroflexi bacterium HGW-Chloroflexi-6. RNAcentral describes it as "tRNA-Met". It matches the Rfam family "tRNA". From Rfam's summary of the family: Transfer RNA (tRNA) molecules are approximately 80 nucleotides in length. Their secondary structure includes four short double-helical elements and three loops (D, anti-codon, and T loops). Lineage: Bacteria; Bacillati; Chloroflexota. The record is from RNAcentral.